UCCAGACUCCCUGCUCUCAGGGCAGCCCUGAGCCUGCAAGAGGACACACAGACCCAGAUUCUUUAAAAAAUAACGGCUUUGAGGCCGACCCGGUGGUGCAGCAGGUGGAAGGAGAAAACAAACACGGCUGUUAGAGGAGUUUGUGCUCUAACAGAACAGAUUCAUGCACCCGUGACAUGAAGACGUGGACCAGAGCUGGACCCCUCUUCCGCCAUGAGAAGAAGCCUGGACUAGCCUGCUGAGGAUGAGAGACCGACCACAUAGAGCAGAACAUCUGAAAAGCAACCGACCAGAGAUAUGCAGUUUCUUUAAAACCCACCCGCCUUCCUUUGAUCCCCUGGAAGAGGUGGACUUCCUGACCUUGGCCUUG
RNAcentral lists this long non-coding RNA (370 nucleotides) under Equus caballus (horse). RNAcentral describes it as "lncRNA (ENSECAG00000047306.1)". The record is from RNAcentral. Lineage: Eukaryota; Metazoa; Chordata; Mammalia; Perissodactyla; Equidae.